RNAcentral lists this ribosomal RNA (510 nucleotides) under uncultured bacterium. RNAcentral's name for it is "bacterial SSU rRNA". It matches the Rfam family "Bacterial small subunit ribosomal RNA", at positions 15 to 507 of the family's 1533-position model. The record is from RNAcentral.
GAUCCUGGCUCAGGAUGAACGCUAGCUACAGGCUUAACACAUGCAAGGUCGAGGGGAAACGACAUCGAAAGCUUGCUUUGAUGGGCGUCGACCGGCGCACGGGUGAGUAACGCGUAUCCAACCUGCCCACCACUUGGGGAUAACCUUGCGAAAGUAAGACUAAUACCCAAUGACGUCUCUAGAAGACAUCUGAAAGAGAUUUAAAAGGAUUUAUCGGUGAUGGAUGGGGAUGCGUCUGAUUAGCUUGUUGGCGGGUAACGGCCCACCAAGGCGACGAUCAGUAGGGGUUCUGAGAGAAAGGUCCCCCCACAUUGGAACUGAGACACGGUCCAAACUCCUACGGGAGGCAGCAGUGAGGAAUAUUGGUCAAUGGACGAGAGUCUGAACCACCGCCAAGUAGCGUGAAGGAUGACUGCCCUAUGGGUUGUAAACUUCUUUUAUAUGGGAAUAAAGUGAGCCACGUGUGGCUUUUUGUAUGUACCAUACGAAUAAGGAUCGGCUAACUCCGUG